GACGAACGCUGGCGGCGUGCCUAAUACAUGCAAGUAGGACGCAGUUGCGAACGGGUGAGUAACGCGUAGGUAACUACCUAUAAGAGGGGGGUAACUAUUGGAAACGAUAGCUAAUACCGCAUACUAGUAGAUGGCCCUGCGGGGUAUUAGCUAGUAGGUAGGGUAAUGGCCUACCUAGGCAACGAGAGAUAGACGAGCUGGGAGGGGGGACGGCCAAACGUGGACUGAGACAAGGCCGAGACUUCUACGGGUAGCAGCAGUAGUGAAACUGCGGCAAUGGGGGGAACCCUGACCGAGGAACGCCGGGUGAGUGAAGAAGGUUUUCGGAUUGUAAAGCUCUGUUGUUAAGGGAGCGGUACGUAACCAGAAAGUGACGGCUAAUUACGUGCCAGCAGCCGCGGUAAUAC
This 407-nucleotide ribosomal RNA is filed under the name uncultured bacterium. RNAcentral describes it as "partial 16S ribosomal RNA". It matches the Rfam family "Bacterial small subunit ribosomal RNA", at positions 28 to 526 of the family's 1533-position model. The record is from RNAcentral.